GAAAUUAAAGCAUAUAUUGUCUGUGGAAAACUUUAGUUGAGCAUUAUAUCUUUAAUUAAAUUUAGGUAAUGCAGAAGUGACAUUCCAACAGAAUUUUUUGUAUCUAUCAUGCAUUUCCUAGAAAUAUAGGAUGUAUAUUUAAUAAACUGGAAUCAGAAAGAGAAUUAGAAAGGAAGUGACUCCAGUGCAGUGGGAUGGAUAUUGAAGAUGUUAAAUUAUUAUACUUAUAUCUUUUAUUAGAUGUAAUCUGAAUAACCUGAAAAGGAAGUGUCUGAGUGAGUUCAGAGCAGGAUCCGAGGCAGCUUAACCUGCAGCUUGUAAUGAUCUCCUAAGGGUUAGGCACUGGGAAACUACUGACAACAGGAGCACUGGAAAAACCUCAGGCCUCCUCAGAACUGUGGGAAGAAGCUUUCCUUUUAGGAUCUUCUCUGGAAGCGUUCAAAUUUAAGACUCCUGAAGGACAAGCACCAUGGAGGUGCAGAGAUAAUUGUAAGGUGA
RNAcentral lists this long non-coding RNA (498 nucleotides) under Cyanoderma ruficeps (rufous-capped babbler). Its description in RNAcentral is "lncRNA (ENSCRFG00000005118.1)". The record is from RNAcentral. Lineage: Eukaryota; Metazoa; Chordata; Aves; Passeriformes; Timaliidae.